CCUACGGGUGGCAGCAGUGAGGAAUAUUGGUCAAUGGGCGCGAGCCUGAACCAGCCAAGCCGCGUGAAGGAUGACUGCCCUACGGGUUGUAAACUUCUUUUAUAAAGGAAUAAAGUGAGACACGUGUGCCUUUUUGUAUGUACUUUAUGAAUGAGGAUCGGCUAACUCCGUGCCAGCAGCCGCGGUAAUACGGAGGAUCCGAGCGUUAUCCGGAUUUAUUGGGUGUAAAGGGAGCGUAGAUGGGUUGUUAAGUCAGUUGUGAAAGUCUGCGGCUCAACCGUAAAAUUGCAAUUGAUACUGGCAGUCUUGAGUACAGGUGAGGUAGGCGGAAUUCGUGGUGUAGCGGUGAAAUGCGUAGAUAUCACGAAGAACUCCGAUUGCGAAGGCAGAUUACUAAACUGCCACUGACAUUGAGGCUCGAAAGUGUGGGGAGCAAACAGGAUUAGAUACCCUUGUAGUC
RNAcentral lists this ribosomal RNA (460 nucleotides) under uncultured bacterium. Its description in RNAcentral is "partial 16S ribosomal RNA". It matches the Rfam family "Bacterial small subunit ribosomal RNA", at positions 338 to 795 of the family's 1533-position model. The record is from RNAcentral.